Molecule: long non-coding RNA, 1410 nt
Organism: Crotalus tigris (Tiger rattlesnake)
Lineage: Eukaryota; Metazoa; Chordata; Lepidosauria; Squamata; Viperidae
Exons: 3
Source: RefSeq, a predicted model, not a curated record
CAGGGGCGUGGCCAAAGAAAAGGGGAAAAAAAUGGCAGGACAGCCUUGUUUGGCGACCCCCGUGAAAUGGUCGUUCGACCCCAAAUGGGGUCCCGACCCCCAGGUUGAGAACCACUGCUCUAUAGUGUGUUGUGUAGAAUCUUGCUCUUCAUGCUCUGAAUGUCUAUGGAGAUUCUCGGUCAUCGUGGUUGUCCCAAAGGUGCUUUUUUUAAGGAGGCAACGGGACUUUAUCCGAGAAGCUUCUUCAGCUCUGACUGGAUGGUGGGGGAAUGGAAGGAUUUAUACUCCUUGCAGACAGCUGGUCAUUUGCAUCCUUUCAGAGAGUUGUUGAAGCCAUCUGUGUCCACUGAACAACCCUGUGACUAACUUAACCUCUGUGGCAAGGCUGCAAAAUGGAGCAAAACUCACUUAGCAACAGAAAUACGGGGUUUCAUUAUGGCCGUAACUCAAGGGCCACCUGUACUUUGGCCAGCCAAGGUCAGGAUUGGCAAACUUACUUAUAAGCUAGUUAAACAGAAAUAAAUCAACCCUGUUCUGCCAGGGCAGAAAAUGUUCCGAGGACACAACACAGCUUAAUUCAGGAACCAGUAAGAAAAGGCCGAGUCUGAGAAUUUUACUGGAAUUUUCUUUCCCCUUGAAAAGUCUCAAAUUCACUUUUUCCCCCAUUGCACAGGUUUGCUCCUGCUAGUGAGUGUCUCAGUUUACCUGGAGUUUCAGAGCUGGUCAAAAAAAGUUCACCAUCCCCUUGUUCUGACGUGUAUAUUCGGAUUUCAGCAUUCGGAAGAGGUUUUUCCAAGAUCCAGGUAGUCCUCGAUUUACAGCAAUCCGUUUAGUUACCGUUCCGAAAUUACAACGGCGCUGACUUGUGACCAUUUUUCACAGCUACUACUUGUUGUAGCACCCCUAGGUUCAGGGGUUCAAAAUUCGGACACUUGGCAACGGACCCGUAUUUAUGACGGUCGCAUCGCCCUGGAAUCACGUGAUUUCCCCUUUUGUGACCUUCUGACAAACAGCAGGGAAGCCAGCUUCACUUAACAACCGUGUUUACUAGCUUGACAACUGCAAGGAUUCACUUAACAUCUCUGGAAAGAGAGGUCGUAAAACGGGGCAAAAUUCACCGAACGACUAUCCCGCUUAGCAACGGAAGCUUUGGGCUCAAUUGUGGCGAACCACCACGAUUGAUAAGGCAACAUUCGAUGGGAUUGGAAAUAUGAAAAUCCAUCACUUUCCAGAGCUUUUCUGAUGCUUGGGAGAAGCAACUGUGACGAAGGCAUCAGGCUAUAGAAAGGAAGAAUUCCAGUCCUAUCUUAACCGUGAAAGCCAGCUGGGCGACUUUGGGCCAAUCACCAGACGACGGUGAGUUCUAGUCCCGCCUUAGGCAUGAAAGCCACAUAGGUGACUUUGGGCCAA